Molecule: RNA transcript, 5694 nt
Organism: Solanum dulcamara
Lineage: Eukaryota; Viridiplantae; Streptophyta; Magnoliopsida; Solanales; Solanaceae
Exons: 9
Source: RefSeq, a predicted model, not a curated record
CAGUAGAGGUAGAGAAUUUGGUAUCAGAACUUUUUCGCAUUGCUGAAGAUAAGGUGUUCGACGAAAUGUCAUACAGAACAGUGGGCUCUGAGAUUCAUGAUAUUAACACUAUUGUCAGCUUCUGCAAAGAUGUCAGCUUGCAAACCAAGGUGCCUACAUCAGGUUUGAACGAACCCAACCUCUGGUCAAGUUGAUAAACUUAUGGAGGACAAUAUUGAUCAAGACAGGAUGCAACCUUUAAAUGUUUCCACUUUGGCAUCAGCAGUUGCCAAUCCCGAUACAGUCAAUCAAUAUGAGCUGGAUGAUAAGGAACUUCCUAUCCAGAUUCCAGAAAUAAGGAUUGUGGUAUGCUGUCAAACUAGCUUUGAUUAUGUGACACCAAUGCAGAGGAAUAGGCAACCUGAUCGAUGGAACAAGUCUCCUUACCUGACAGAGUUCAGGUCCGAUUCAGGCACUAUGGUCGUGUUGAAGUCCUAUUUUUGACAUAAAACACUUCAUUUGACUUUUACGUUAGAAUUCUUUCAGAAGGGAUAAGGAUGGCCACUACAAAUAGAAAUCAACAAUCAUUCUGUUGUCAAGCUUGUCACUAGAAAGGAUUGAUUUCACCAAACGUCUUUUGCCAGGCAAUGUUGAAAUGUUGAGAAGGGAUACUCGUCACUACAAAUGAUUGAUUUCACCAAACGUCUUUUGCCGGGCAAUGUUGAAAUGACGAGGGAAGUUGGAAGUGUGAAGAAGGCAUUCACUCUUCCACGAGAGGUGCAUGUUCAAGUAACCCAUUCCAUGCCACCAGAAAAGAUUGAAGUUUUUUGAUAAAUUGCGCGAUUGGGCUGCACAGAAUCUCUUGGUGUGCCAAAAGCCUGUCAAGAUAUGUUGGCAGCCUACUGAUUUUCUUCCUGAUCCUGCUUCCGAGGGAUUUGAUGAGCAGGUCAAGGAGCUAAGGGAAAGAUGUAAGGAAAUUCCUGACGACUACUUUGUUGUAUUAAUUGGGGAUAUGGCCCUUCCAACUUAUCAGACCAUGAUAAAAACCCUGGAUGGUGUUCCUGAUGAAACUGGAGCCAGAACCACUCCCUGGGCUAUUUGAACUAGGGCAUGGACAGCGGAGGAAAAUUGGUAUGGUUAUCUUCUCAACGAAUAUCUUUAUCUUUCUGGAAGAGUGGAUAUGAAGCAAAUUGAAAAGACAAUCAAGUACCUAAUUGGUUCUCGCAUGGGACAUGUGUUAGAGAUCAUCAACAAGCGCUUCGUUGAAGAUCUAUUUCUUUCCUGAUAGUGACUCUACUUUUGGAGAUGGAAAAUCUGUGGAGGAGGGUGCCGUCACAGUACUAUUUGAACGUCCAGAUGCAAAGUUUCCUGUUGGGCAAGUACUCUCAGUGCAAAUUGGUAUCACUUUCUACGUUUGCAAUAGACUUGUACAGUCUGAUAUGUGCUUAUACGAAUCGUAACAUUCUGAUUUUUUCUCUUGGCCAUGUUACUUUGUUGGAUUGGAUAACAAGUCCAGGGACGGGUUCUUUAAGGGACUUGCCACACUCUACACCUGCGGUGAAGAGUGAAGAGGAAGAUAGUGGUGGAGUGAUCUGCAAAAAGAUGAUAAUUUCUCUACUUGAGAAAUUGGAAUAUUAUGAUGUUGUUAUACUUAAGAUUCCAAUCUUGGUUCAACUCACAUCUUUCAUUGUAUCUCUUAUUGAUAUGUACACCAAACUUGAGGCUAUGGUUCAUGUUAAAGCAAUUUUCUAUGACUAACUGACAAAACAAUUAUAUUAGUUCUACUCUACAGUAUAGUGGUAAUUUUAGCAAUUCCAGGGAAUCCAUGAUUCUUGUUAGUUACUUGAAAUCAAUUUGGUUGUUGCUAUUGGAACCACUGCCUCAUGCUUCCAUUUUUAGAAGGCAUUUCCUAAGAGUUGCACAUAACUAUAAAGUGUUGUACAAUUGGUGGAUUCAUUUAGGACUUAAUGCGUACAAGCAACAUGAUGCCCCCAAGCCUUUUAAUUUAGAUCACAGAAGAUCCAUAUCACAGGACAUAGACCGCCAAAUACCCAUGAUUAUCAACCUGUUGAUAGCGCAGACAGGAUGCAACCUCUAAAUGUUGCCACUUUGGCGUCAGCAGUUUCCAAUCCCGAUAUAGCCAAUCAAUAUGAGCUGGAUGAUAAGGAACUUCCUAUCCUGAUUCCAGAAACAAGGAUUGUGGUAUUCUGUCAAACUAGCAUUGAUUAUGUCAUGCCAAUGCAGAGGAAUAGGCAACCUGGUUGAUGGAACAAGUCUCCUUACCUGAGUUCAGAAGGGAUAAGGACGAGCACUUCAAAAAGAAAUCAACAAUCAUUCCUCUAUCGUUUGAUUUUGUUGUCAAACUAGUCACUACAAACGAUUGAUUUCACCAAACGUCUUUUGCCGGGCAAUGUUGAAAUUAUGAGGUGCGUCUGUAUUUGAGAUAUAGCCUUCCGCAUGUCUGAUACACUUGACGACACUUGCUGUGUAGUUACCACCACAUCAUAGAUGUAUGAAAAGUCUGCUUCUGGCUUCUGCUAAUUACAGGGAAGUGGGAAGUGUGAAGAAGGCAUUCACUCUUCCACGAGAGGUGCAUGUUCAAGUAACCCAUUCCAUGCCACCAGAAAAGAUUGAAGUUUUUUCAUUAUCUGCGCGAUUGCGCUGCACAGAAUCUUUUGGUGCUCCUAAAGCCUGUCGAGAAAUGUUGGCAGCCUACUGAUUUUCUUCCUGAUCCUUCUUCUGAGGGAUUUGAUGAGCAGGUCAAGGAGCUAAGGGAAAGAUGUAAGGAAAUUCCUGACGACUACUUUGUCGUAUUAAUUGGGGAUAUGGCCCUUCCAACUUAUCAGACCAUAAUAAACACCCUGGAUGGUGUUCGUGAUGAAACUGGAGCCAGCAUCACUCCCUGGGCUAUUUGGACUAGGACAUGGACAGCGGAGAGAAAUUGGUAUGGUGAUCUUCUCAACAAAUAUCUUUAUCUUUCUGGAAGAGUUGAUAUGAAGCAAAUUGAAAAGACAAUCAAGUACCUACUUGGUUCUGGCAAGUGCUUUCUUCCAUCGGCUUUGACGAGGAGGGCCGGCUACCUCUUCCUUUGCAUCAGCCUACUACACAGGAAGAUCACAGGCGGACCAUGUGUUCAAUAAAUUGCCGGUGAAGUAUAACUAUGUAGAGUCCGUGGAAUUGAUUACUAAAAAACCUCGUGAAGACAUAGAGACACCACAAAUUGGGAAUAUAAAUUCAGUAGAAGAAAAUUUGAUACAUGAACCUUAUUCCAUUACCCAAGAUCACGUGUUCGACAAGUCCAUGAGGUUGAGCACUCUGUAACUAAAGUAUCCAACGAUAGCUUCUACAAAGAAAUCAAGGUACCUCUUGCGGUGUUGGAUGAUACUGACGGAUCUAAUAAUGAGGAGAAAAAUUCACACGAUAAUGUAGCUUUGUGUAAAAAAUCUCCUCCACUGAAUACAUCUGGUUUGCUGGUUGCUUUUCUUGCCAAGGAACUAUGAUAUCAAAUGCAAGUUCGCGGCUCGCUGAAAUCGAAUAUUUGUUUGCUAAUACUUUAUGACUUUGCACAAUUCCCUGUUGGCAUAUUUCUCUUGAAGUAUUUCGCGGGGGUAACCAAAGUGGAAUGUUGCUUUGCCUUGACUUUCGCUUACGCAAAUGCAAUUGGGUUGAUACUGGACAGGAGUUCACUCUUCCGGGAUUCUUGUUGUUUGGUAUAGGUGCUCACAGGAACUGCAACAGUCUGGCUUUGUCUCUUGGAAGUUUCAUUUUUUUGGUUGGAUAAUGGGGUCAAGGAAGGUUUCUUUCAGGGCGUUGCUACACUCUACACCUACUGUGACGAAUGACGAGUGACAAGGUAGAUAGUGGUCCAUUGCUUAGCAAAAGGAUAAAAAUAUAUUUCCUAGGGGAAAAGAUUGUUGAAGCUCUAUGUCUUGAUAACUUUUUCGGAGAAUGAGCUUUCCAUUCCAACGAGUGAAAUGCAUUAUGUUGAAGUAUAUCUUAGAGCUGAAAAUGGAAAAUCUGCUGAGGGAUUCAAUGGUCAAGAUAUUUUGAGUCAAUUUCAUUUAUCCCUGAUGCUAACUUCCUUACUGUAAUCAUUCACGUGACCGCAGCGGAUCCUUGUGCCUGGGAUCCAGGAAUAGGUUUCAAGUUCAUGCCUUUAACAAGUUAUACAGUGAUCCAUGUGGAGGAACUGCUAUUGCUGGGAUGUACUGACAAGUUUUUCUUAACUGUUUAUUCAAACUGUAUGAGUAGAAUUGUGGGAUCCGGACAACCAUGGUGUGUAAAUUCCUACGUGAAUGAGUGCUCCAUUUUCUAUAGCUGCAUUCCGUUCACAUGUCCUUCAAUUGCAUAUACACUAUUCUUAGAUGAAUAAUAUGAUGAUGAAACAUGAAGUUUGGCAGCCAACUUCAAGCACACAUCAAUUUUGCAUCUUCACUAUAUAAUUGUACUUUCUAUCAUAUUACUGGAGUGGAAAGUAAUAAUAUUAUAGAGUGGAUAGAAUGUGAAGCUUCAGGUUGAGCACCCUUCUGCAGGUUACACACUUUAUGGGGUCAUUGAGAUGUUUGAGUGGGCCACGUGACAUAGAUUACAUCGUGGAUUAAGUGCUGCACUAAUUUUUGUUAUCCUCUUGAACAAGUGUGUGGUUGCAGGGCUGGUUAUAACUGAACUCCAUUUGAUAAUGCCGAAGAGUUUUUACUGUAAGUCAGAAAGAACGUGGCUGUAAUUGCUUGAUAUCAGUUCCAAUGGAGAGAUUUGGUGGAAGGUGAACUUCUAACAUAAUUUUCUAAUACUUCAAGGUGGAUAAUUUUAGCUUCUACAGGUCUGCUCAUGUUAAGGAGUACUGUCUUUAUCACAUUUCAAGUGCUUUUGGAGCUUCCUUUGAUCUUAGCAGUACUAUUGGUGAAAUUCUUGGUAUCCAUUAUUUGACAAUAUUACCUACAAUUUGGCCUAUCAGGUGAAUAUUUCAGUUGAUAUAAAGGAAUUGAUGUUAAGGAAGAAUGGAGUGAGAAGGGGCAUUGCAGCCCCUGUUAACCAUGUGUAUGUUGCUGUUAGAAAAUUAUGACAAAGUUCCCUUAUGUUGCUGCUAGUGGUACUUCUAGAAGUUUGGGUGAUAUCUUUAGGCGCAUUGCUCUUUUGGACACAUCUCACAUUGUUAAAAGUCUCUGGCUUGUUAUUCCGGACCUAAGCAAGAAUUAUGCAACUAUCGCUAGACUACUCAAAGCUGCCAACCAAAUUAUGAUAUUGUUCCUAAAGGUUUUUGCCUGUUUUAGCCUAGUUUAUAACACUUCAAGUUGCCAGGUGACAUUUCCUAUGAACCUUGAGGACAAGAUUCUUUCUGGGGAUGGGUGUAUUGUUGUGAACCAAGCUAGCUUUGUAAGGCCUAUGAGUUAGAAGUGGUGAAUAAGAUUGGGCCGAGUAAAAUGUUGGAGUAUUUUAUUUGGGAUUCAGGCCCAGUUAGCAUCUGGUUAAAGGGAGAAGAGGUUAUGCGUGUUAUGAAGAAAAUGUAUGUUCCUCUCAUCUUCUUCUAGAGUCUACACUUCCCGUCCCAUUCUUAUCUCUAUCAUUAGGUACUUGUUAUUUCAAUAUUUUCUAUUGUAAUUCAAUAGUUUAAGUGUUGCCAUAGUAAUUGGGCUAUCAGUGAUUAUAUAAUACUUGGUAUUUGUGUUGAGAAUUAUGGUUUGUUACACAAUUGCAAAAAGAAAAACCAAGACUCUA